AUGUGGCACAACACCGGCAAUACCUUGCCGGUGAUGGUCAACGGCCGGCAGACGGGCAGCAAAAAGGUUCUGGUGCUGCACACCAGCAAGAACUUCGACCAGCAGAGGACCAACUGGGUGAUGCACCAGUACCACCUCGGGGACCUAGAGCAAGAGAAGGAGCGGGAGCUGGUCCUCUGCAAGAUUUUCUACCAGACGAACACUAGGGCCAGGAGUAAAAAGAUUAUAAGUUACUUUGGUAUUGGUACUUGUACUACCUUGUCGUUCGCAAGUUGGUCGAGCAAGUUUCAACUGGGCUGUAGACUGCCCAGGCUUGGUUUUGUUUUUAACAGGCCCAGCCCAUGA
Molecule: ribosomal RNA, 345 nt
Filed under: Triticum aestivum (bread wheat)
Lineage: Eukaryota; Viridiplantae; Streptophyta; Magnoliopsida; Poales; Poaceae
Description: partial small subunit ribosomal RNA
Source: RNAcentral